GGGCCCGCACAAGCGGUGGAGCAUGUGGUUCAAUUCGACGCAACGCGAAGAACCUUACCCAGGCUUGAACAGCGAGUGAUCAUCGACGAAAGUUGACUUCCGCAAGGACACUCGUAGAGGUGCUGCAUGGCUGUCGUCAGCUCGUGUCGUGAGAUGUUGGGUUAAGUCCCGCAACGAGCGCAACCCUUGUCUGCUGUUGCCAUCACGUUAUGGUGGGCACUCUGCAGAGACUGCCGGUGAUAAACCGGAGGAAGGUGGGGAUGACGUCAAGUCAGCAUGGCCUUUAUGUCUGGGGCUACACACGUGCUACAAUGGCCGGUACAAACCGUCGCGAUACCGUAAGGUGGAGCUAAUCGGAGAAAGCCGGUCUCAGUUCGGAUUGUAGGCUGCAACUCGCCUGCAUGAAGUUGGAAUCGCUAGUAAUCGCGGAUCAGCACGCCGCGGUGAAUACGUUCCCGGGCCUU
RNAcentral lists this ribosomal RNA (464 nucleotides) under uncultured bacterium. RNAcentral describes it as "bacterial SSU rRNA". It matches the Rfam family "Bacterial small subunit ribosomal RNA", at positions 917 to 1382 of the family's 1533-position model. The record is from RNAcentral.